GCAGAACAGUACCUUGCUUUUGGAGAGGUCAGUGAGGUGUUAACCACUACAGAAGCAGUUGUGCUGGAGCGAAUGCAGAUAGCUUGCACCCUACUUGAACAUCGAGGGAACGCUGAGGACUACUGCAUUGUUUGCUCUAUGUUAGAUGCUGAUGCUGACCGCAGCAUGAUUGAAAUGGUGCAGUGUGAAUCUUGCCAAAGAUGGGCACAUUUUGCAUGUGCAAAAUAUAAAGAGAGCAAUCAAGAAUAUAAAUGCAAAAAAUGUAAGGAAAACACAUAACAACUUCAAAUAAAAACAGCUGUCUUUUCCCCUCCAUGUCUCUUUGUAUUCUUUGUCAACAUUAGAUGAUUGUGUGCUGGAGGCACGUUUUGAUAGUGUGAUUUGGCCAUCUGAAC
Long non-coding RNA from Oreochromis aureus, 395 nucleotides. The record is from Ensembl. NCBI's taxonomy places the organism in Eukaryota, Metazoa, Chordata, Actinopteri, Cichliformes, Cichlidae.